RNAcentral lists this ribosomal RNA (894 nucleotides) under uncultured bacterium. RNAcentral's name for it is "bacterial SSU rRNA". It matches the Rfam family "Bacterial small subunit ribosomal RNA", at positions 8 to 916 of the family's 1533-position model. The record is from RNAcentral.
AGAGUUUGAUCAUGGCUCAGGACGAACGCUGGCGGCGUGCUUAACACAUGCAAGUCGAACGAUGAACCACUUCGGUGGGGAUUAGUGGCGAACGGGUGAGUAACACGUGGGCAAUCUGCCCUGCACUCUGGGACAAGCCCUGGAAACGGGGUCUAAUACCGGAUACUGACCCGCUUGGGCAUCCAAGCGGUUCGAAAGCUCCGGCGGUGCAGGAUGAGCCCGCGGCCUAUCAGCUUGUUGGUGAGGUAAUGGCUCACCAAGGCGACGACGGGUAGCCGGCCUGAGAGGGCGACCGGCCACACUGGGACUGAGACACGGCCCAGACACCUACGGGAGGCAGCAGUGGGGAAUAUUGCACAAUGGGCGAAAGCCUGAUGCAGCGACGCCGCGUGAGGGAUGACGGCCUUCGGGUUGUAAACCUCUUUCAGCAGGGAAGAAGCGAAAGUGACGGUACCUGCAGAAGAAGCGCCGGCUAACUACGUGCCAGCAGCCGCGGUAAUACGUAGGGCGCGAGCGUUGUCCGGAAUUAUUGGGCGUAAAGAGCUCGUAGGCGGCUUGUCGCGUCGGUUGUGAAAGCCCGGGGCUUAACCCCGGGUCUGCAGUCGAUACGGGCAGGCUAGAGUUCGGUAGGGGAGAUCGGAAUUCCUGGUGUAGCGGUGAAAUGCGCAGAUAUCAGGAGGAACACCGGUGGCGAAGGCGGAUCUCUGGGCCGAUAUUGACGCUGAGGAGCGAAAGCGUGGGGAGCGAACAGGAUUAGAUACCCUGGUAGUCCACGCCGUAAACGGUGGGCACUAGGUGUGGGCGACAUUCCACGUCGUCCGUGCCGCAGCUAACGCAUUAAGUGCCCCGCCUGGGGAGUACGGCCGCAAGGCUAAAACUCAAAGGAAUUGACGG